AAAAGGACUGAUACCGUUUGACCUACCUGGCAAAUAUAAUUGGGUCUCAUAAGCAUAGCAGUGAAAGGAAAUAUCUUUCUAAAAAAUAAAUAAAUAAAUGAAUAAUAGAACCCAGGGGAAGCAUAUAAAGGAAAAACAACAGAGGACCUGAUACGGAGCCCUGAGGUACACCACACGAUAAGGGGGCCGACGAAGAACAGAAAUUCCCUAUGUUUACUGCGAAAGUCCUAUCUUUCGGGUAAGACGCAAACCACUGCAAAGCCAGACCCUCGAUUCGAUCCACAGACUCUAAGCUAUUUAAAAGAAUAUUAAAAAAAUUAAUACGAUAGUAUCAAAGGCAGCACUAAGAUCCAAUAAGACCAACACAAUAAGUGCCAGAGUCAAGUGACAUUAAAAUAUCAUUAGUAACCUUUAACAGGGCCGAUUCAGUGCUGUGUAAAGAUCUAAAAUCUGACUGGAACAUGUCUAAAAUAUCUGAAAAAUUCUAAUGGUACAUAAACAACUAUUUCCAGCAACUUGGAGAUAACAGGCAAUUUGGAAAUAGGACUAUAGUUGUUUUGUAAAGUUGGAUCAAGAUAAGGUUUUCUAAGCAAAGGCUGCUCAUUUGAAUGCUUGAGGCUGGCUGGUGCGACUCCGGUAGCUAACUAUUAAUAAUGCUUGUCACAACUGGACUGACAUGACUGACAUGAUGGGAGUUUUUUUGUUUUGUUUUUAACUAUUUGCAUGACAGCAUGAAAUGCAAAACAAACAAACAAACAAACAAACAAACAAAAGUUAUAUCAGAAUUUAGCAUCCUGAAAUUACCCAAUGAAUUCUUUCUGUAGGUUAAACAUGUCAGUUUUAUUUCAAACAGAAAGUCAACGCAUUAGGAAAUGAAUAAUGCUGUGUCAACAAGGCACUGGGAUAUCGACAGUCUGUAAAAGCAGUUAUCUAGACAGUUAUGAGACUCCCUCAUUCCACUCCCUCUCUCCAUUCUUUCUUUCUUCCUUCCUCAGUUUCAUUUUUUACUCUCUCACCUUCCUUACUCUCUUUCUUGAUCAAUUUCUUUCUCUUUUUCCCCUCAGUUUCCUUCCUCACUUCCUCUCGCUCUCUCCUUCCUUCCCUUUUUAUAUUUCAUUCCUUCCUCGCUUUCUUGUUCUUCCUUCUUUCCUUUCUCCCAUCCUUCCUCACUUACUUUGUUUCCUUUCUUCCUUCCUUCCUCCCUCAAUUUCUCUCUUUUCUUUUGACCAUUGCUCCCUUACUCACAUUCCUACUUUCUCAUGCUUCCUUUCUUCCUCUCUUCCUUUCUUUUCAUUCCUUCACUAUCUCUUCCUUCCUCACUUUCUCUGUCCUUCCUCACUUUCCCUUCCUUACUUCGUUCCUCACUUUCUCUCGCUCUCUCCUUCCUCCCUUUUUUAUAUUUCAUUCCUUCCUCGCUUUCUUGUUCUUCCUUCUUUCCUUUCUCCCAUCCUUCCUCACUUACUUUGUUUCCUUUCUUCCUUCCUUCCUCCCUCAAUUUCUCUCUUUUCUUUUGACCAUUGCUCCCUUACUCACAUUCCUACUUUCUCAUGCUUCCUUUCUUCCUCUCUUCCUUUCUUUUCAUUCCUUCACUAUCUCUUCCUUCCUCACUUUCUCUGUCCUUCCUCACUUUCCCUUCCUUACUUCGUUCCUCACUUUCUCUCGCUCUCUCCUUCCUCCCUUUUUUAUAUUUCAUUCCUUCCUCACUUUCUUGUUCUUCCUUCUUUCCUUCCAUAAUUUCUCUUUUCUUUUGACCCUUGCUUCCUUACUCACAUUCCUACUUUCUCUUGCUUCCUUCCAUCCUCUCUUUCUCUCCCUUCCUUUCUUUCAUUUCUUCCUCACUGUGUCUUCCUUCCUCAAUUUCUCUCCGUCCUUCCUUCCUGUUUAUCUUUCCCUCUUUCCUCACAUUCCCACUUUCUCCUCCUUCCUUCCUUCCUUCCAAUGUCCUUACUGCCCUGUGUAAAACUGGCCUUGGUGAUCAUAACGCCAUGUUCACAAAACACGAAACGCACACACUUACUUGAUAUUCAUUCAUUUUUUCUACAUUAGCAACAUCAACAGUCUCUACUUCAACACACCACAAUCUCCCGUUUCUUUACUUGGGAAAUAAAACUCUACAUUAGUGCUAAUCCAGGAUUCGUCUUACCCAUCUACACACACUUUAAUUACCAUAUCAAUCUCAUCACACUGAAUCUUGAUCCAGCCACGGGGAGAGUGUGUUGUCUCUGGCAGAGUGUUACGUGAAAAAUCUAAUGGCUUGCAGAAUUUAAGAAAGGACCGGAGUGGUGAAGCAAAAUGACAUAAUAAGGACAUUAUCCAGAGAGAGAGAGAGAAAGAGAGAGAGAGAGAGAGACAUGUUAAUAUCACUCAGAGCAGGAAGACACACACACGGCUAAGAUUAAAAGCGGCAGAUGAUAUCUUAAUAGCGUUCUGUAGGAAGACACACACACUGGGGCACAAAUAAAUAAAUAAAUAAAUAAAUGAAACAGAGAGAGAGAGAGAGAGAGAGAGAGAAAAUAUUAAGACAAACCAGAAUGCAUAAUUAUCUGCUUAAAUAUCAUUAAACGAGUGCUUCAAAAAUUCUGACACACGUAAACAACAGGCCUGUGUAGUAAAUCUAUGUAUAUCGUAUAUAAAAGUUACCUUUUAUAUUUUAGAUAGAACUGACCAGCUGUGUUCUGAAUUGGGGGGGGGGUCAUUUCAGGGCCUUAAAAAUGCAAAUAGGAACUUGAAAUGAAAUGCAAAUCCUUGAAAAUUCAUGUUAAUAGCGCAACCUUUUUUUCUCUCUCUCUCUAUAAAAGGUGUGUUGGUAAUUAUAAUCAGCAUUACACAUCUACAAAAACUUUUAAACUUUACAAAUUGCACCUUUAAAGAGUGUUCAUAAAAACAGAAGCAGACACUGGGAGAUCACUCAACCUCUCAGACACUUCCGAGUCUCGACUGCAAGAGUACUAGACUGAUAUUUAAAAAAAUUAAAAAUAAAUAAAAAAUAAAAAUAAUAAAAGAUGCAGCUCGAGCUCAUGUCUUUUUUCUCUGCUGCUCAUACAAGAAAGGAAGAAACUUGCCUCUAUGCUCAGUUUUGCCGCCAGCCUGUAAUGCUCCUUAUUAAGUCGAUCCGACCGUUAAACUUUCCCAAAAGGCAAAGCGGUCCAGGUUGUAACUGAGGAGAUCGCAUGCCCCGAUUAGAAUUCAGAGGUAAACUCUUGAUGUGUGAAUAAAGACGAGCUCGCGUGGUUACCUACAGCUUUAGUCCCAUUCCAGCAAGACUCACCUGAGAUUCCCUUUUUCGCAGCGCAACAGUCUGCCAAGGCACACCCUCUGUGGAACACGCUCACGGAUCGUAUUUCUAUACGAUCCUAAAGUUAAUCCCCAUUCGCUAUCACUCUUAACCAGCAGGAACACACGAGAGCUCCAGCUUUUCCAAAGACCUUGGAACCGAGGCAAGCUGCGAAGUGACGGGCAGGAGUGUGUAAGCGAACCUAGCUCAAACCUGAUAACACACACUUUACAGAGGGUGAGAUUAUCUCUGCCGAGGACGUGCAGGGAGUCGUAAAGUCUCAGUGAUUUGCACAUUUCUCUACAAAACAAAAAGGUACAGAAAGGGUGUGGCCAGAACAGGUGGGCCUAGCUCUUAGAAAAGAGAUGCAAGUGUGAUGAAGAGCAGCAAUGUGCAGCAGGUGCUUCUUCCCUUUCGUGUUAUGGUUGAACGGGAGAGAGAGAGAGGAGAGAAUAAAUGAGAAGUCGACCCAGUUGCCGACUGGAGACAACGCAGACUACACCAGUUACACUUGCACUCUAAUUUUCUUUCGGUUUGCAUUUCAAUCAAAUUUACAGUAUAACUCACGUCAUUUUUAAAGCAUUAUAAUCGUUUCGAGUCGUUUCCAAGGACAAGAGGAUGUGGACUAGCUAAUGAAUGUGGCCUACAUUCAUUAGCUGACAAAAUUUGAAAUGUUUUGUAUUAUCGUAUUAAUGUAACGGUCCAGUUACCAGCGUGAC
Long non-coding RNA from Ictalurus punctatus (channel catfish), 3993 nucleotides. NCBI's taxonomy places the organism in Eukaryota, Metazoa, Chordata, Actinopteri, Siluriformes, Ictaluridae. The record is from Ensembl.